GACAGACACACACACUAACAGAAAUGCAUACACAUUAACUGACAGAUGCACACUCAGUGUAAGAGACACACACUUUCUCUCUCUCUCUCUCUCUCUCACACACAAAUACACAUACACAUCUGACAAUGUCAGAAGAAAGAGGGAGUAUAAAUGUAUUCCAACCCAACAGUAGGUAGGUGGUACAUGUCAAAGUAACAUCCACAUAAAUGACAGGACCCAAGGUUUCCCAGGAGAACAUUGUUCAGAGCAUAACACUGCCUCCAUGGGCCUGCCUUUUUCCCAUAAUGCAUCC
This is a non-coding RNA of Pelobates cultripes (western spadefoot toad), 292 nucleotides long. The record is from the annotation of a GenBank genome assembly. NCBI's taxonomy places the organism in Eukaryota, Metazoa, Chordata, Amphibia, Anura, Pelobatidae.